GGCCCUUUAGCUCAGUGGUUAGAGCAGGUGACUCAUAAUCGCUUGGUCGCUGGUUCAAGUCCAGCAAGGGCCACCA
This 76-nucleotide transfer RNA is filed under the name Escherichia coli. RNAcentral describes it as "tRNA-Met". It matches the Rfam family "tRNA". From Rfam's summary of the family: Transfer RNA (tRNA) molecules are approximately 80 nucleotides in length. The record is from RNAcentral. Lineage: Bacteria; Pseudomonadati; Pseudomonadota; Gammaproteobacteria; Enterobacterales; Enterobacteriaceae. RNAcentral also lists the same sequence under 1 other name.